This is a long non-coding RNA of Sebastes umbrosus (honeycomb rockfish), 462 nucleotides long. RefSeq lists it as uncharacterized. NCBI's taxonomy places the organism in Eukaryota, Metazoa, Chordata, Actinopteri, Perciformes, Sebastidae. The record is from RefSeq and is a predicted model, not a curated record. The transcript has 4 exons.
UGCUAAGAAAGCAGUUGGCGCUUGAAUAUGACGAUGACGUCACCACCACUAUAAAUACGUCCCUCCGUCUCCGUCACAUCCUCUUUCCGCUACUCUUCUCACUUUGAGGAAUCUCUCCACAAGAUGAGAGCCAAGUGGAGGAAGAAGCGUAUGCGCAGGCUGAAGCGUAAAAGGCGAAAGAUGAGGCAGAGGUCCAAGUAAGCCCUCAUCCCUGCCAGCUGUCAUCCUGUCAGAGCCUCUCCAGAUGACGGACGCAUGUAGCUGAACUGGAGCCUCCAACUGUGGAACAUAGGCCUAAACCCGGAGCCUGCUGUGAAUGUCUGACUGGAAGAGGCAAAGACGCUGGAUGAUCUCACAACAUCAGAACUGCAGCUGCUUCGUUCACGGACCAUAACACACCAUUUACUAACAACUGUCAUGUGGUGGUGUGUUGAACAAUAAAUGAACACUGUUAAAACUUUA